GGUUGAAAUCUGCAAGCGUAGGGUCUCUGGUCUUCUUACCUCUGCCAUGAACCUCAGAUCCAGUGCAGAUGCCUGAGGCCCCCAAACCCCAGAGACACCAAGCGACUGUGUAUCCUUGUCAUUCUAGAAUUUCCCAUCUCCUCUUGGUGGCAUCACCUGGAGAGGCACCCCUCCCCCUGCCCCCAGCACACCCCUGCCCGCCGGUCCCCAGACCACAGCAACCCCAGUGCCUGGCCCACCGGUGCCCGCUCCCCAGCCAUGGAGGGAGUGACAAGACAGUGAUUCUGAGUAGCUCACUUUCUUCCUGCCUUUCUCUCCUGCCAUCUGCCUCCCAGGGGACGUUCUCUUCCAGAUGGCUGAAGUCCACAGGCAGAUUCAGAAUCAAUUGGAAGAAAUGCUGAAGUCUUUUCACAACGAGCUGCUAACGCAGCUGGAGCAGAAGGUGGAGCUGGACUCCAGGUACCUGAGCGCUGCGCUGAAGAAAUACCAGACGGAGCAAAGGAGCAAAGGUGAUGCGUUGGACAAGUGCCAGGCCGAGCUGAAGAAACUCCGCAAGAAGAGCCAAGGGAGCAAAAACCCCCAGAAGUACUCGGACAAGGAGCUGCAGUACAUCGACGCCAUCGGCAGCAAGCAGGGGGAGCUGGAGAGCUACGUGUCCGACGGCUACAAGACUGCUCUCACUGAGGAGAGGAGGAGGUUCUGCUUCCUGGUGGAGAAGCAGUGUGCCGUGGCCAAGAACUCCGCCGCCUACCACUCCAAGGGCAAGGAGCUGCUGGCGCAGAAGCUGCCGCUGUGGCAGCAGGCCUGUGCCGACCCCAACAAGAUCCCAGACCGUGCCGUGCAGCUGAUGCAGCAGAUGGCCAGCAGCAAUGGGUCUAUACUCCCCAGCGGCCUGUCGGCCUCCAAGUCCAACCUGGUGAUCUCAGACCCCAUUCCGGGGGCCAAGCCCCUGCCGGUGCCCCCUGAGCUGGCCCCGUUUGUGGGGCGGCUGUCUGCCCAGGAGAACACGCCUGUCAUGAAUGGCGUCUCGGGCCCAGACAACGAGGACUACACCCCCUGGGCUGACCGCAAGGCCGCCCAGCCCAAGUCCACGUCUCCUCCGCAGUCUCAGAGCAAGCUGAGCGACUCCUACUCCAACACGCUUCCUGUGCGCAAGAGCGUGGCCCCCAAGAACAGCUACGCCACCACCGAGAACAAGACCCUGCCCCGCUCGAGCUCCAUGGCAGCCGGUCUGGAGCGCAACGGCCGCAUGCGGGUGAAGGCCAUUUUCUCCCACGCGGCUGGGGACAACAGCACCCUGCUGAGCUUCAAGGAGGGCGACUUCAUCACCCUGCUGGUGCCCGAGGCCCGCGACGGCUGGCAUUACGGCGAGAGCGAGAAGACCAAGAUGCGGGGCUGGUUUCCCUUCUCCUAUACCCGGGUCCUGGACGGCGACGGCGGUGACCGAUUGCACACGAGCCUGCAGCAGGGCAAGAGCAGCAGCACGGGCAACCUCCUGGACAAGGAAGACCUGGCCCUCCCGCCCCCCGACUAUGGCACAUCCUCCCGGGCCUUUCCCGCCCAGACGGCCGGCACUUUCAAGCAGAGGCCCUACAGCGUGGCCGUGCCCGCCUUCUCCCAGGGUUUGGAUGAUUACGGGGCGCGGGCCGUGAGCAGUGCCGAUGUGGAAGUGGCCAGAUUUUGAGCGGUCCCUGACUAGAGUUAUGUGAGUUCUGGAAAACUCUAGAGACGAGCGCUCCUGAAAUUGGGGGAUGGGAGAAAUGACUUUGACCCUGGCUCAACAGUGGGUGAGCUGGGCCACUCUCCUCCCCUGCAUCUGUCCCUCUUCUUCCGAGAUGCUUUGAGACACCUGCAUCUCCCGCCCCUACCUAUGCUGCCCUCGUGGUCCCUCUGAGCUGGUGGAGCCCAGCUGAUCUCACCCACUGGAGGUAUUGGAAGGGGGUGAAGGCUCAGGAGGCUCGUAUGGCCUCUGCCUAGAACCCCACCCCUGGAUGUAGGGCAGAGCCCCAGGGGCAUGGCGGGCGGGGGUGCACUCAUCCCUGGGAGCACACAGCACGGCGGCCGCAGGGUCUGCCUGCCCUGAUGAUUCUACCAGGGGCGGGGGUGUCACAAGCCACCUCUGGUUGGUUGAGGGACAUUGCUCAGCUUUGCCAGAGCUCACAGCCCUGGGAGGAGGGCCGGGGAGGAGAACGACUCAAGUGCAGAAGGGCCGACGUUCUGAAGUUGUGGCACGUUUUAAGAGGAAGACGUGGAGAAAGUUGAAAUCUAUGCUGUGACUGCUCUUCGCUCCUUCUCUGCUCCGGAGUCACCACAGGACACAAGCCACGCUUCAUGCUGACGGGGCUGUUAUCAGAACCACCCCCUUUCUUAUUCAAGAAGUGGAUUCAGAAGAUAACCGAAGGCGAUUCCACCAAAUCCCCAGUGAUGAAUGUUUCGUGAGCCUGGACCCGAAUGCUGCUCGGCUGCAGGGGUCCCACCUCAUCAGGCUGUGGGGGUCUGCAGAGGACUGGGUGGUGGGGACAGCCAUUCCUGGUGGGGGGGCCUGGCUCGUGCCUGCCUUCACCAUGCCGGGGACUUCAGGCCUGCCCCCCGGAGGGUGCAAAUCCAUUCCGUAUAAAAGCUACCGGCUGUCCCUGUGUCCCUGCUCAGGAGGGGGACAGAGCCCAGCCCCCAGUCCUCCACCUGAGUGCCUGGUGGCCCUGCCUGGGGAGGGGCCCUGGCGUGCUGACAGCACUGACUCGCGCAUACUCCAGCGUCUCCCAUUUGGGUCAAGAAGAGCUUGUUCUGUGUCUGGGUGGUCCGCUGUUGAUUGGCCUCGGCGUCCACCCCUGGGCAGUGACGGACGUCUGCAGGACAGCAGGAUCGAUCGGCAGUGCCUCAGGAUACUGAAUAUAAUCCCCUGUGCUAUACGGUAGGACCUUGUUGUUUAUCCUUUCUAUACAUAACAGUUUUCAUCUGCUAAUCCCAAACUCCCAAUCCACCCCUCCCCCACCCCUUCCUCCUUGGCAAACACAAGUCUGUUGUCUAUGAGUCUGUUUUGUAGGUAAAUUCAUUUGUAUAAUUUUUUAGAUUUUACAUAUAAGUGAUAUCAUAUGCUGUUUGUCAUUCUUAGUAUACUGAGAAUCUCUAGGUCUAUUCAUGUUGCUGCAGAUGGCAUUAUUUCAUUCUUUUUUAUGGCUGAGUAAUAUUCCAUUGUGUAUAUACAUCUUCUUUAUUCAUUUAUCUGUCGAUGGACACAUUUAGGCUGUUUCCUUGUCUUGGCUAUUGCGAAUAGUGCUUCUGUGAACAUAGGGGUGCACGUAUCUUUUUGAAUUAUAGUUACAUCUGGAUCGUAUGGCAACUCUAGUUUUGGGGGGAACCUCCAUACUGUUUUCCAUAGUGCCUGCACCAAUCUCCCACCAACAGUCUAGGGAGGUUCCCUUUUCUCCACACCCUCUCCAGCAUUUGUAAUUUGUAGACUUCUUAAUGAUGGCCAUUCUGACCAGUGUGAGGUAGUAGUACCUCAUUGUAGUUUUGAUUUGCAUUUCUCUAAUAAUUAGCAAUGUUGAACAUCUUUUCAUGUGCCUGUUGGCCUUCUGUAUGUCUUCUUUGGACAAAUGUCUAGUUAGGUCUUCUGCUCAUUUUUCGAUUGGGUUGUUUGGUUUUUUGUUGUUGAGAUGUAGGAGCUGUUUGUAUAUUUUUGAAAUUAAGCCCUUGUCAGUCGCAUCAUUUGCAAAUAUUGUGUCCCAAUCUGUAGAUUGUCUUUUUGUUUACGGUUUCCUUUGCUGUGCAAAAGCUUGUAAGUUUGAUUAGUGUCUUUUUGUUUACGGUUUCCUUUGCUGUGCAAAAGCUUAUAAGUUUGAUUAGGUCCCACUUGUUUAUUUUUGCUUUUGUUUUUAUUGCCUUGGGAGACCUAAGAAAACAUUGCUACGAUUUAUGUCAGAGAAUGUUUUGCCUAUGUUUUUCUUGUAGGAGUUUUAUGGUGUCAUGUCUUAUAUUUAAGUCUAUAAGCCAUUGUGAGUUUAUUUUUGUAUAUGGUUUGAGGGUGUGUUGUAACUUCAUUGAUUUACACAUGGCUGGUCACUGACCCUUUCUGAUGAGAAUGUAGGUGUGUCGGGACACACCCGGCUGGAACUCCCUUUUGCCCCCUGGCUCUGGUCAGCACAGGCGCCAUCCUCCCUUCUCUGGGUCCCUUCCCCUGCUGGGUCCCUGACUCUGGAUGGACAAACCUGCCCCGUUUCUAGCCCCACAAGACCCCCGGCCAUGACCCUGGCUGCAGACCGCCAAGGGCAUGGAGCCCUCCUCUAGGACCAGAGUCCAGUCAAGGCGGCCGCCCCCAUGGCUGCCCUGCAUCCUCCGUCCCCGGGCGGAUGACGCUGGUCACAGCAGAACCUCGGUUUCAGAACCUCCAGGCCGCCCCUGCCCGGGGCCAGUGGGGCCAAAGCACAUCUGCUCAGACCCAAGCCUGGGGGGCCAGAGAGGACCUGAAUGAGGGAGACUGAGGCCCCGCCGGCUGGAGGGCCUUUCAUCAGGUGCAGAUGUUCCGAGGCAGGGGUGGAACGGCUGUGGGUGCUGCAGCCAACUGCCAGGCAGCAUCUUGGAGACGCAGAAGCCACACGUUGCUCCAUCAGUCUCCUCUCACCAGUUCAUCCUUUGAACAACUGAGCCCGAAGUGCCUCAGUGUUUUAGAAAACGCCAGGUCCUCAGGCAAACACAGGGUUUUUUUUCCCACCCCACGUUCUAUCUUCCUGGGCACCUGGACAGAGCGCCCACCCAGCUCCUGUCGAUGCCCAGCCAUGUCAGAGGCCACUCCCGCCCCAGGUAACGGCUCCUGUUCAGGCCGAGCCCUCUGUGUCCCACGUGCCAUCCGUGCUGUCACCCUUGGGACUGCCUGACGUCCCCCGGCCUGCUCUCCUGUGCCGUCCCCGCCUGGGCAGGUCCUCGGAGCCCACCGAACCCGAGGAGGAGAGGCCUCCGUGAGCACGAGGCCAGGUGCCGGCCCCGCCCUGCACUCAUCUUGUUCCAUCGCAGCCCCUUGUCUGGAAUCCCUUCGCCAGCGUCCAGCUGAAGCCGACGGUGACCAAUGACAGGUCUGCCCCACUCCUCAGCUGACGGCCACGUCUGCACCCAC
RNA transcript from Physeter macrocephalus (sperm whale), 5110 nucleotides. It is a transcript of the gene named BAR/IMD domain containing adaptor protein 2, with no coding region annotated. The record is from RefSeq and is a predicted model, not a curated record. Lineage: Eukaryota; Metazoa; Chordata; Mammalia; Artiodactyla; Physeteridae. The transcript has 14 exons.